This 2823-nucleotide long non-coding RNA is filed under the name Capsicum annuum. RNAcentral describes it as "long non-coding RNA (CANN_LNC007600)". The record is from RNAcentral. Lineage: Eukaryota; Viridiplantae; Streptophyta; Magnoliopsida; Solanales; Solanaceae.
GAUUCUAAAGCAGCUCAGAAGAGACAGUGGUGUGUGUCCAUUGGACUAACCUAAAUAUCCAUACACCCAUCCGAUUAAACUAACAAUAGCCGGAAACACUUGCCCAAUACUUUUCAGGGGUCCAUCUUAUGUUUUGUGCUUUUGUUGAGCAUUCCGAGCCUUCUUGAGUUGUUUUCACUUGAUUUGAAGCUUGUAUAUCCUUAAUAUAUCAUCAUCAUCCAUUCACCAAGCAUCCUAAAUCAUUAGACACAUCAAUUAAAAUCUCAAAACAACAUAACAUCCUCACCAAUGAACUAGAAACACGAGCUAAGCAUAGGCUAAAUUUACAUUGAGCUUUAACUCAUUGUUUUCACUCUUUUCUUGAUCCAAUUGACCCUUGAACAUUAUAACUAAGUUGUUUCACAUAUAAACACAUAAUAACAACCUUAGUAACUCAUUAAAAUAUAUUAUAACUCAACACAAUAGACUAGAAAAACACCUAGCUCAAGCUAGUCACACUAGUUUUCUCGGUUGAACUCUAAAUGGUCGAAUUGAAUCAAAAUUUGUGUGGAAACACCAUUAAACAUUCUGAACACAUACUUGGACACAUAAUUGCUCAUUUAUAUCAAUAUGAACACAUAUAGCAUAAUAAUCAUCCUCAAAACAAGGCUAAAUAAGCUAGAAUAGUAGUGCUAGAAUGCAUAAAUUCACCCAACAUCACCACCCCAUACUUAAAGCCUUGUUCGUCCUCGAACAAUUAUUAACUAUAAACACCAUGAGCUGAAGAGAAUCCACACUUCUACUAUAUGCAAGACACUCAAGCUAGAACUACAAUGACUACACGAAUGCAAGUUUACAACACUAAGCAUGUUAUACACAAUUGAAAGCUCAUGAACACUACUCCAAAACAACCUAGCCUCAAGAAUUGGCUCACCUAGUUGGCAAACUCAUGCUUAUUGCUCAAUCAAGGACAUCAUAUAAAUCACCCAUAUUCAUCAAACAUGUUCCCCUCACAACAAUAGAGUUACUCAUAACCUCUCAUAAUAAUGCAAUUUAUAUCGUAAUGGGUACAAGAAUGAAAUUACGCUCACUCUCACAAAGAAUUCACAAGUUACACAUAAUGAGCCAUAGGCUUGCCCUUAGUGUAGUGUUCCACUAAUAGUCGAAUGUAAAGCUUAGGAUCAAUUAGGACUUUUUUGGGUUGUAAUGUAGGUAAAAGGACGGGUAGAAACUAUUUUGGCCAAGAAUAGUGACUAACCUCUCUAAGCGCUUUAAUACACUAGAUUAUACAUUUAAAACCAAUCUCCAACAACCAAAUUAUACAACUUUUGUCUACCCAUGUCUUUUAUUUUUGCCCCAUCUCUUUUAAGCAUUUUCACAAAUACUUGGUGGACACAUAGUUUACUACCACAAGAAUCAAUUUUUCUCUUUUUUACAAUCAUGGCAAUAUUUUUAGCAUAAAUUAUAUCACAACCAUCUACCACACAUCAAUUAUACACUAAUAACUAUUACCUUGGGGCAUCAUUUCAACUUUUCGUUCUUCAAUUUCUCAAACUCCUUUCUCAAAUUUAUUUAUUUUUUCAAUUAAAGCACUUAGAAGCCUUUUGGAUCAAAUUAUGGUCUAUCAAAGAAGGGAUUAGGCAACUUAUGAGGAUACCAAAGAAAAGGCUAAAGGCUCAAUGAGGUUUAACUAGAAUAAUGCAUAAGGGUAGGUAAAAAGAUGGUAUAAAACAAGGAUAUCAAAGAAAUUUCUAUAUCAUCUCCUAAACUCACGUUCUUUAUUUCACUUCACACACACACCGGGCAAGUUCUAGACAUCACAUGCAACAAGAAAUAUACAAAAAUCUCACACACACAUGGCACAUGCUUAACUCAAUAGGAUCAUCAUAGACUCCCAACCAAACAAUAGCAUGAAUUUAAAUUUAAGCCACAAGUACAAGAGUCACAAACAUGAGCCUAAGAGUCUAAAAAGUAGUAAUUCUCCAAAAUCACAUUCUUUUACCAACAAACCCACUUGCAUCAGAUAAUCAAAAAUAGCACUAACAAAAAUAUCUCACUUAUUCCUAACCUAAUUUUUUUAAAAAAAAUUGAGUCAAAAUUUGAGAAUUUCCCCACCCCACACUUAAAAAUCUACUUUGUCCCCAAAGUGAAUUUAAAAGUAAGAAAUAGAAAUACUCCUUGAGGCCUCUAGGCCUAGCUAGUAGCACCUUCACAUAAAGGAGAUCCAUGGGACCCACACUCAUUCUUUGCCAUGCUUCAAGUUCAAGUUUAUGGUACUCAGACUUCCCAUUAACCUGUGACUCAACCAAAAACAAAAACUACGUGAAAUAAAAACUAAAAAAAACUGAAAAUAAAACCUACUUACCUUGGGUUGCCUCCCAAGAAGCACCUAAUUUAGUGUCGAGGCAUGACCUAAUCAACUUUUUUCUCCACCUUGAGGAUAUGAAUUUCACUCCCAACAUCGCAUCCAUCUUUUUACCUCGAUCAUAUGGAGGUGGUACAGAGAUUAAUGAACCGAGUAAUGGAUGAUGUAUGAUAAACAACUCGUCCUUGAGGUGAGGUGUGUUUUUAUAUAGCUUAUCCGAUGUAAAAUCAAGAAUAUAGGAUUCUUGUUCCUCAUCUUCACACUCUUCCACAAUUUUAAAUGAUUCCACAGACAAGAUAUCAUCUAAACAUAAUGUAGAAAAGUGCUUGGAGUGCGGCCCAACAAAUCCUACUUCAAAAUUUAUACUAUCCUCAACACUCUCACUCUUAUUCACCUUUUCAAUUUCAGUGUCACGACCUGAUUACUCAAAUCGUGAUGACGCCUACCUUAUCCCACCAGUAGGCAAGCCAAACCAUAGC